Molecule: ribosomal RNA, 470 nt
Filed under: uncultured bacterium
Lineage: Bacteria
Description: bacterial SSU rRNA
Rfam family: Bacterial small subunit ribosomal RNA
Source: RNAcentral
AUUGAACGCUGGCGGCAUGCCUUACACAUGCAAGUCGAACGGUAACGCGGGGCAACCUGGCGACGAGUGGCGAACGGGUGAGUAAUGCAUCGGAACGUGCCCAGUAGUGGGGGAUAGCCCGGCGAAAGCCGGAUUAAUACCGCAUACGACCUACGGGUGAAAGCGGGGGACCGUAAGGCCUCGCGCUGUUGGAGCGGCCGAUGUCAGAUUAGGUAGUUGGUGGGGUAAAGGCCUACCAAGCCUUCGAUCUGUAGCUGGUCUGAGAGGACGACCAGCCACACUGGGACUGAGACACGGCCCAGACUCCUACGGGAGGCAGCAGUGGGGAAUUUUGGACAAUGGGCGCAAGCCUGAUCCAGCCAUGCCGCGUGCGGGAAGAAGGCCUCGGUUGUAACGACUUUGUCUAGGAGAACGACUCCGGCGUAAUACCUCGGGUAAGUAGACGGUACCGUGAAGAAUAAGACACCGGC